Molecule: ribosomal RNA, 239 nt
Filed under: uncultured Lactobacillus sp.
Lineage: Bacteria; Bacillati; Bacillota; Bacilli; Lactobacillales; Lactobacillaceae
Description: partial 16S ribosomal RNA
Rfam family: Bacterial small subunit ribosomal RNA
Source: RNAcentral
CCGUAGCCCAAGAGAUCGGGAUAACACCUGGAAACAGAUGCUAAUACCGGAUAACAACAGAUGAUGCCUAUCAACUGUUUAAAAGAUGGCUCUGCUAUCACUCUUGGAUGGACCUGCGGUGCAUUAGCUAGUUGGUAGGGUAACGGCCUACCAAGGCGAUGAUGCAUAGCCGAGUUGAGAGACUGAUCGGCCACAUUGGGACUGAGACACGGCCCAAACUCCUACGGGAGGCAGCAGGU